AUUGAUUUUCAUUCAGCCUACAAUUAAAUACCGCCAGCACACCGAACUUUAUAUAAAAACUGGAACAUUAGACUAAACCGAUAGCUUAUUUUGAUUUGGGAGAGGAUAGAAAGCGCCAAAAAAGUGCUGUACAGAUCAGUGGCUUUAGCAUAUUGAAGAUUUCAGGCCAUGACGGAGGGGAUUCGCCAUUCAGAUGGAGUUGUGAAUUACUUCAGAAGAGCAGCACCAGACGAUUAUUAUUCAGAGGAUGAUAAUGUGUAGAAUGGCCAUAAAUGAGGUGGUGAAGAUCAUGUUCAGGACUGUUUGCUGAGACUGUGGAUUAAAGAUUUGAUUUACUUGCAUUUUAUGACUCAUCACAUUUCAAGGACAACAGUUUCAGCUAAGAAACCUUAUUUGAUGCUCUAUUGAAGAAAAAAGUCAACUACAUCUUAGAUGGCCUGAGGGAGCAAAGAGGGUUAGUAUUUUAUAUGAAGCAGACCAGACUGAAACCAACAACACGUAAGCACCUGCACCAAGCCUACUCUGUUCUCACCAGAAAUAACUUCAUCCAGCAUCUCUCUCAUAUUCCCAGUGUCGCUCAUUCUCAUUAGUAGACGUGUGAUUCUCCUCUCAUUACCCCUGUGUCUGCUCUCUGUCUCUGGUACACGGUGUGUUCCUGUAUUUGUGGCUCUUCCUGUCUCCUGCUGUCAUUGCUCUGCAGUCGCCAAUGCUUCCGGCUAGUCUCUGUUGGCGGCAAUGGUCUUGUUAGGG
Danio rerio (zebrafish) is the source of this 750-nucleotide non-coding RNA. The record is from Ensembl. NCBI's taxonomy places the organism in Eukaryota, Metazoa, Chordata, Actinopteri, Cypriniformes, Danionidae.